GCGCGAAAACUCUACACUGCGGGAAACCGCGAUAAGGGGACCCCGAGUGCCAACAGUGGUAGCAAGGGCCGGGCAAGACCGGUGCCAGCCGCCGCGGUAACACCGGCGGCCCGAGUGGUAACCGUUUUUAUUGGGUUUAAAGGGUCCGUAGCCGGCUUACUAAGUCUCUUGGGAAAUCUGGCGGCUCAAUCGUCAGGCGCCAAGAGAUACAGGUAGGCUUGGGACCGGGAGAGGUGGGAGGUACUCCAGGGGUAGGGGUGAAAUCUCGUAAUCCUUGGGGGACCACCGAUGGCGAAGGCAUCCCACCAGAACGGGUCCGACGGUGAGGGACGAAAGCUGGGGGCACGAACCGGAUUAGAUACCCGGGUAGUCCCAGCUGUAAACGAUGCUCGCUAGGUGUCAGGUGCGGUGCGACCGCAUCUGGUGCCGCAGUGAAAACUUGAAGCGAGUCACCUGGGAAGUACGGUCGCAAGGCUGAAACUUAAAGGAAUUGGCGGGGGAGCACACAACGGGUGGAGCCUGCGGUUCAAUUGGAUUCAACGCCGGAAAGCUUACCGGACUCGACAGACUAUGAAGGUCAGGCUAAAGACCUUACCGAAUUCGCUGAGAAGAAGUGCAUGGCC
RNAcentral lists this ribosomal RNA (623 nucleotides) under uncultured archaeon. RNAcentral's name for it is "bacterial SSU rRNA". It matches the Rfam family "Archaeal small subunit ribosomal RNA", at positions 339 to 999 of the family's 1478-position model. The record is from RNAcentral.